Molecule: ribosomal RNA, 1080 nt
Filed under: Mycobacterium tuberculosis
Lineage: Bacteria; Bacillati; Actinomycetota; Actinomycetes; Mycobacteriales; Mycobacteriaceae
Description: bacterial SSU rRNA
Rfam family: Bacterial small subunit ribosomal RNA
Source: RNAcentral
AGAGGUGUGGGAUGAGCCCGCGGCCUAUCAGCUUGUUGGUGGGGUGACGGCCUACCAAGGCGACGACGGGUAGCCGGCCUGAGAGGGUGUCCGGCCACACUGGGACUGAGAUACGGCCCAGACUCCUACGGGAGGCAGCAGUGGGGAAUAUUGCACAAUGGGCGCAAGCCUGAUGCAGCGACGCCGCGUGGGGGAUGACGGCCUUCGGGUUGUAAACCUCUUUCACCAUCGACGAAGGUCCGGGUUCUCUCGGAUUGACGGUAGGUGGAGAAGAAGCACCGGCCAACUACGUGCCAGCAGCCGCGGUAAUACGUAGGGUGCGAGCGUUGUCCGGAAUUACUGGGCGUAAAGAGCUCGUAGGUGGUUUGUCGCGUUGUUCGUGAAAUCUCACGGCUUAACUGUGAGCGUGCGGGCGAUACGGGCAGACUAGAGUACUGCAGGGGAGACUGGAAUUCCUGGUGUAGCGGUGGAAUGCGCAGAUAUCAGGAGGAACACCGGUGGCGAAGGCGGGUCUCUGGGCAGUAACUGACGCUGAGGAGCGAAAGCGUGGGGAGCGAACAGGAUUAGAUACCCUGGUAGUCCACGCCGUAAACGGUGGGUACUAGGUGUGGGUUUCCUUCCUUGGGAUCCGUGCCGUAGCUAACGCAUUAAGUACCCCGCCUGGGGAGUACGGCCGCAAGGCUAAAACUCAAAGGAAUUGACGGGGCCCGCACAAGCGGCGGAGCAUGUGGAUUAAUUCGAUGCAACGCGAAGAACCUUACCUGGGUUUGACAUGCACAGGACGCGUCUAGAGAUAGGCGUUCCCUUGUGGCCUGUGUGCAGGUGGUGCAUGGCUGUCGUCAGCUCGUGUCGUGAGAUGUUGGGUUAAGUCCCGCAACGAGCGCAACCCUUGUCUCAUGUUGCCAGCACGUAAUGGUGGGGACUCGUGAGAGACUGCCGGGGUCAACUCGGAGGAAGGUGGGGAUGACGUCAAGUCAUCAUGCCCCUUAUGUCCAGGGCUUCACACAUGCUACAAUGGCCGGUACAAAGGGCUGCGAUGCCGCGAGGUUAAGCGAAUCCUUAAAAGCCGGUCUCAGUUCG